This 492-nucleotide ribosomal RNA is filed under the name uncultured bacterium. Its description in RNAcentral is "partial 16S ribosomal RNA". It matches the Rfam family "Bacterial small subunit ribosomal RNA", at positions 28 to 507 of the family's 1533-position model. The record is from RNAcentral.
GACGAACGCUGGCGGCGUGCUUAACACAUGCAAGUCGAACGGUGAAGCGCCUUCCUUUUUGGUGGGUGUGGAUGAGUGGCGAACGGGUGAGUAACACGUGAGUAACCUGCCCCCUUCUUCUGGAUAACCGCAUGAAAGUGUGGCUAAUACGGGAUAUUCUGGGUCUGUCGCAUGAUGGGUCUGGGAAAGAUAUUGUUUCGGUGGGGGAUGGGCUCGCGGCCUAUCAGCUUGUUGGUGGGGUGAUGGCCUACCAAGGCGGUGACGGGUAGCCGGCCUGAGAGGGUGGACGGUCACACUGGGACUGAGACACGGCCCAGACUCCUACGGGAGGCAGCAGUGGGGAAUAUUGCACAAUGGGCGCAAGCCUGAUGCAGCGACGCCGCGUGAGGGAUGGAGGCCUUCGGGUUGAACCUCUUUCGCCAGUGAAGCAGGCCUGCCUCGUUUGUGGGUGGGUUGACGGUAGCUGGAUAAGAAGCGCCGGCUAACUACGUG